This 477-nucleotide ribosomal RNA is filed under the name uncultured bacterium. RNAcentral describes it as "partial 16S ribosomal RNA". It matches the Rfam family "Bacterial small subunit ribosomal RNA", at positions 30 to 507 of the family's 1533-position model. The record is from RNAcentral.
AUUGAACGCUGGCGGCAUGCCUUACACAUGCAAGUCGAACGGUAACAGGUUAAGCUGACGAGUGGCGAACGGGUGAGUAAUGUAUCGGAACGUGCCCAGUCGUGGGGGAUAACUGCUCGAAAGAGCAGCUAAUACCGCGUACGACCUGAGGGUGAAAGCGGGGGAUCGCAAGACCUCGCGCGAUUGGAGCGGCCGAUAUCAGAUUAGGUAGUUGGUGAGGUAAAGGCUCACCAAGCCGACGAUCUGUAGCUGGUCUGAGAGGACGACCAGCCACACUGGGACUGAGACACGGCCCAGACUCCUACGGGAGGCAGCAGUGGGGAAUUUUGGACAAUGGGCGCAAGCCUGAUCCAGCCAUGCCGCGUGCGGGAAGAAGGCCUUCGGGUUGUAAACCGCUUUUGUCAGGGAAGAAAAGGUUCUGGCUAAUACCUGGGACUCAUGACGGUACCUGAAGAAUAAGCACCGGCUAACUACGUG